CUCUGUCAUCGUUGGUCAAUUUACACCACCGCGUUAGCAAAGCUGGGCACUUCAUUCAUUAGAUAAGUUUGUUCCAUCCUUUUUUAUCCCUUCAGUUGUAUGAAAUUCUUUAUUUAAACUUUUUGCAUCCUUUAUGUAGGCCGAGAUUUCAGAUCUAUCUUCCUCAUCCAUCUGAGCCUUCUUUACACAGUCAGUAAAUCCUCUUCGACCUCCAUCACCCUUAUACCUAGAUUCAAAUCCAUCAACAUUGCUUGGAUGCAAGCCAGCGCUUUAGUCGCAAACGCCAAAAGUAUGUUUUCGUUAAUCACUAUUUUCGAGUCUAUCACAUAUCCUCUUGAAUCCCUAAUAACAAUACUAGAACAUGACCUCUUUUCUUGAUUUCUAUAUGCAACAUCAAAAUUUAACUUAACGCAUGGGUUUUCCGGUGUCUUCCAUUACUCAAUCACCUCCCUCUUCUCCGGUAACUUAUUGCUUAGAUUAUCCAACUCCUUAAGAUAAUUCUUAAUAAAGUUUUCAGUGACUAAUCCAUCUUUUUUCUCACUUUCGUGCACCCAUUUUUUUAUGUCCAUCCAAAUUGCCCUUAGAGCACAUACAAAUACUCUACACUGAUUUUUCAAAUUCUGUUAAAAAUGUAGGCAAUUCAUUCUCUAUUUCCCAUGUCUGCAAUAGUUUGAAACACAUGUUCUGUUGUUUCUACCUCCUUUGUAAUUUGACAGUCAUGCAUCACAUGUUUUGUUGUUUCUGUUUCCUCUUUGCAUCUAGUACAAACUGUCGUUCCAAUCAGCCUUUUGUGACGUAGAUUAUUAAAUGUAGGAAGAAAAUUACAGGCUAUUCUCCAUGUUAUAAUUUUUAUUUUUAGUGGUUGAUUCAAUAGCCAUAUUUUCUUAUAAAGAUUCUCUCUCGUGUUCUAAUUGUAACUAGCAUUAAGAUUUGUGAGUCAUUGUACUAGAAGCUUGUAACCACUACGAACAGAGUACUCGCCUGAUGCUUUACCUUUCCAUACCCUAUGUUCAUUGUAUGGACAUCGUGCCAAUGGAAUACGAAGAAUUCUUUCUACAUCCCUUUAACUAAAGUCCACACUUCCCAGUACCCAAGCAUCUUCCAUUAUCGAGAUAGAAGUCCUUAUACUCACCUGCCAGCACAAGCCCACCUGUAGGAGACCCUUGGUAUCCCACACAUUUUGCCAGACUCAGUCGCUCGAAGGCUCUCCGAUCCCACACCCGAUCUCCGAUUACGACGAAGAGGGUGAGGACUCGGCUUCGCAACAAAGGUAAAAUCCUUCACUUUCCUUCCGUUUCCCUUUCUCAAACAAUAAAUAAAAAGAAAAGAAAAAGGAUCAAAAAAUUAUAAAAGAACCAGAUAAAAGAAACUCGAAAUCACCUUUAAGAAAUUACUUUUUCUCUAUUGCUUUUUUCAGAAUUUUUGAUACAAUCUCCGUGUGUAAAAAAAAACCCUUGCAAACGUUAAGAAAUGACCUUAUAUAGUCGAAUCGAAAAGAAAAAUAAAUAAAUAAAUAAAUCAAAAUACAUCUAUUUUUCUCUGCCAUCUUUUCCUAUUUUCUUUUUGUCGCUCAUUUUUUCGUUUUUCUCUUCGUUUUGCUGCUUGGUUUCGUUUGUUUUGGUUGUUGCAGGUACAAGGCCAGCCUGGAGAUGUA
Long non-coding RNA from Gossypium raimondii (Peruvian cotton), 1654 nucleotides. RefSeq lists it as uncharacterized. The transcript is spliced from 3 exons. NCBI's taxonomy places the organism in Eukaryota, Viridiplantae, Streptophyta, Magnoliopsida, Malvales, Malvaceae. The record is from RefSeq and is a predicted model, not a curated record.